GGCUUCUCAAAUUCCUCCUCCAAAUUUUUACUGCCAGUGCUGAAAACAGAUCAGCUCCAAGGGCAGCAGCUCCAGCCCAGUACCGCGAACCAAAGAGAGCACUGCCAUGGGUGGGUGGUGGCAGCUCUGUCCCCAGCCCAGCUCUGUCCCCAGCUCAGCUCUGUCCCCAGCUCAGCUCUGUCCCCAGCUCUGUCCCCAGCUCAGCUCUGUCCUCAGUUCUGUCCCCAGCCCAGCUCUGUCCCCAGCCCAGCUCUGUCCCCAGCUCAGCUCUGUCCCCAGCCCAGUUCUGUCCCCAGCUCAGCUCUGUCCCCAGCUCAGCUCUAUUCCCAGCUCUGUCCCCAGCUCUGUCCCCAGUUCUGUCCCCAGCCCUGUCCCCAGCCCUGUCCCCAGCUCUGUGCAGCUGGUUUUUGUCAGACACGAGCCCUGGCACUUCUCCUCCCUGCUGGCCCCUGGCUGGCUGCUCAGCACGCCGAGAAGCUGUUGGGGAAAUACAAGGGAACUGCACUGCUGGAAAAGGGACUGGACUGCUGGAAAGGAAACUGGACUGAUGGAAAAGGAACUGGACUGAUGGAAAGGGAACUGGACUGAUGGAAAAGGAACUGGACUGCUGGAAAGGGAACUGCACUGCUGGAAAAGGGACUGGACUGCUGGAAAGGAAACUGGACUGCUGAAAGGGAGGUGUCUUUGAGGGGCUGGGGCAGGGUGACACCAGCCUGCAACUGGCCUAACAUCAACCUCUUCAUGGCCACUUCUUCUCAAGCUCAUCUUUUAUUGAUAGCUGGAGAGGAGAGGACAUAUAAAAGCAAAACAUUCUUGCAGGCUGGGAUGUGAUCCAAGGCACAAUUCAACCCUUUGUAAGUGACCAUCUCAGUGAAUGCUUCAGGUUAUGCUGGAUCAAAGUUCCACUCUUUGUUUUGCAGUGUUUGAGUUUAAAUUGUUUUUCUGUUUGCAAUCAUUAAACCUUACUUUACUGAUAAUGAAGUUGUCUGAGAUUUUAUUGAAUCUGGAAUUCAGA
RNAcentral lists this long non-coding RNA (1015 nucleotides) under Cyanistes caeruleus (blue tit). Its description in RNAcentral is "lncRNA (ENSCCEG00000008479.1)". The record is from RNAcentral. Lineage: Eukaryota; Metazoa; Chordata; Aves; Passeriformes; Paridae.